UCUAGGCAUUGAGGAUACUCCAGUGAACCACAUACAGGCCCUACCCUUGUGGCAGUUACAUUCUGGAAGGGAGAGGUGGGCAAAAUUUAUAGUAAGUCAGACAGCGAGAAGUGCUAAGGAGAAAAAUAAAGCUGGGAGGGGAAGUGGUUCCCAUUUUAUAAGGAUGAGCAAAGAAAGCAUCACUGAUGAUGUGCUAUUUGAGCAAAGGCCUGAAAGAAGAGAAAGGGCAAGCCACACAUCUGGGGAAGCACAUGCCAGGUGAAGAGCCCUGCAGAAGUCCAUGAUCAGGAACAAGGAGGCCAGUGUGGCUGAAACAGAGUGGGAGAUAAAGAUGAGACAAAGGAGGCUCAGAGGAUUAAGUGACCUGCCCGCAGCAACACGGAGAAGAUGUGGUGGAACCAGGGAUCAAAAAUUUGUCCUCUGUGUAUAUAGCGCCUCAACUUUCCAUCACACUUGCCUUCCUGGUGACCUGAUAUCCCAGGAUUUUCACUUACUGCUCUGGGGACACAUUGGUUAAAUCCAAGUGGUUUGCAGGCACUGACUGGCAACAUAACUGUGGUCAAUAGAAGAAUGAUGUACUGAGUGGUGGUCACUUAGAACCAUGCAUCUGCCACCCCUCGAGGCUGGGCCAUGAAGAAGGCAUGGCUCGGCUGGCACGGUGGCUCACACCUGUAAUUCCAGCAAUUUGGGAGGCCGAGGUAGGCUGAUUGCUUGAGCUUAGGAGUUUAAGACCAGCCUGGGCAUCAUGGCAAAACCCCAUCUCUAUAAAAAAUACAAACAUUAGCCAGGUGGUAUGCACCUGUGAUCCCAGCAACAGCAGGAGGCUGAGGUGGGAGGAUCGCUUGAACCGGGUGUCAGACCUCAGAGCCUAAGCUAAGCCAUCAUAUCCCCAGUGACCUGCUUGUGUACAUCCAGAUGGCCUGAAGCAACUGAAGAUCCACAGAAGUGAAAAUAGCAUUAACUGAUGACAUUCCACCAUUGUGAUUUGUUUCUGCCCCACCCUAACUGAUCAAUGUUCUUGAUAAUUUCCCCCACCCUUAAGAAGUUUCUUUAUAAUUCGCCCCACCCUUGAAUGUACUUUGUGAGAUCCACCCUCUGCCCCAAAAACAUUGCUCUUAACUCCACCUCCUAUCCCAAAACCUAUAAGAACCAAUGGUAAUCCCACAACCCUUUGCUGCCUCCUUUUUUGGACUCAGCCUGCCUGCACCCAGGUGAAAUAAACAGCUAUGCUGCUCACACAAA
RNAcentral lists this long non-coding RNA (1242 nucleotides) under Homo sapiens (human). Its description in RNAcentral is "HSALNT0298036". Lineage: Eukaryota; Metazoa; Chordata; Mammalia; Primates; Hominidae. The record is from RNAcentral.